CAGAGUAAAAUUUCGGGCGUGUGAUCAGUCACGAAGUGUCUGCCGGACGGGGAGUUGUCGGCGGAACGAACGCAGUUUUGCGGCGAUCCGGAGUUUGCAUCCCGCUGU
Molecule: non-coding RNA, 108 nt
Filed under: bovine gut metagenome
Description: THF riboswitch
Rfam family: THF (Tetrahydrofolate) riboswitch aptamer
About the family: THF riboswitch presents a pseudoknot that joins P1-P2 and the loop of P3 and two THF binding.
Source: RNAcentral